RNAcentral lists this ribosomal RNA (497 nucleotides) under uncultured bacterium. Its description in RNAcentral is "partial 16S ribosomal RNA". It matches the Rfam family "Bacterial small subunit ribosomal RNA", at positions 28 to 507 of the family's 1533-position model. The record is from RNAcentral.
GAUGAACGCUGGCGGCGUGCCUAAUACAUGCAAGUCGAGCGAACGGACGAGAAGCUUGCUUUUCUGAUGUUAGCGGCGGACGGGUGAGUAACACGUGGAUAACCUACCUAUAAGACUGGGAUAACUUCGGGAAACCGGAGCUAAUACCGGAUAAUAUUUUGAACCGCAUGGUUCAAAAGUGAAAGACGGUCUUGCUGUCACUUAUAGAUGGAUCCGCGCUGCAUUAGCUAGUUGGUAAGGUAACGGCUUGCCAAGGCAACGAUGCAUAGCCGACCUGAGAGGGUGAUCGGCCACACUGGAACUGAGACACGGUCCAGACUCCUACGGGAGGCAGCAGUAGGGAAUCUUCCGCAAUGGGCGAAAGCCUGACGGAGCAACGCCGCGUGAGUGAUGAAGGUCUUCGGAUCGUAAAACUCUGUUAUUAGGGAAGAACAUAUGUGUAAGUAACUGUUCACAUCUUGACGGUACCUAAUCAGAAAGCCACGGCUAACUACGUG